Molecule: ribosomal RNA, 219 nt
Filed under: Euptychoides saturnus
Lineage: Eukaryota; Metazoa; Arthropoda; Insecta; Lepidoptera; Nymphalidae
Description: partial large subunit ribosomal RNA
Source: RNAcentral
GAGUUUUAUAUUUAAUUUUAUUUUAUAAUUUUAUAAAAAUUAAUUAUAAAAUAAAAUUAAAUAUUAUAUUGGGGUGAUAGAAAAAUCUAAUAAACUUUUUUUAAAAAAUAAACAUUAAUAAAUGAAUUAAUGAUCCAUAAUUGAUGAUUAUAAGAAAAAAUUACCUUAGGGAUAACAGCGUAAUAUUAUUUUUUAGUACAAAUAAAAAAUAAAGAUUGC